AUUGAACGCUGGCGGCAUGCCUUACACAUGCAAGUCGAACGGUAACAGGUCUUCGGAUGCUGACGAGUGGCGAACGGGUGAGUAAUACAUCGGAACGUGCCUAGUAGUGGGGGAUAACUACUCGAAAGAGUGGCUAAUACCGCAUGAGAUCUACGGAUGAAAGCAGGGGAUCGCAAGACCUUGUGCCACUAGAGCGGCCGAUGGCAGAUUAGGUAGUUGGUGGGAUAAAAGCUUACCAAGCCGACGGUCUGUAGCUGGUCUGAGAGGACGAUCAGGCACACUGGGACUGAGACACGGCCCAGACUCCUACGGGAGGCAGCAGUGGGGAAUUUUGGACAAUGGGCGCAAGCCUGAUCCAGCAAUGCCGCGUGCAGGAUGAAGGCGUUCGGGUUGUAAACUGCUUUUGUACGGAACGAAAAGCCCCGGGUUAAUACCCUGGGGUCAUGACGGUACCGUAAGAAUAAGCACCGGCUAACUACGUGCCAGCCGCCGCAGUAA
RNAcentral lists this ribosomal RNA (498 nucleotides) under uncultured bacterium. Its description in RNAcentral is "partial 16S ribosomal RNA". It matches the Rfam family "Bacterial small subunit ribosomal RNA", at positions 30 to 523 of the family's 1533-position model. The record is from RNAcentral.